GAAACCGAGUCUUAAUUGGGCGUUAAGUUGCAGGGUAUAGACCCGAAACCCGGUGAUCUAGCCAUGGGCAGGUUGAAGGUUGGGUAACACUAACUGGAGGACCGAACCGACUAAUGUUGAAAAAUUAGCGGAUGACCUGUGGCUGGGGGUGAAAGGCCAAUCAAACCGGGAGAUAGCUGGUUCUCCCCGAAAGCUAUUUAGGUAGCGCCUCGUGAAUUCAUCUCCGGGGGUAGAGCACUGUUUCGGCUAGGGGGCCAUCCCGGCUUACCAACCCGAUGCAAACUGCGAAUACCGGAGAAUGUUAUCACGGGAGACACACGGCGGGUGCUAACGUCCGUCGUGAAGAGGGAAACAACCCAGACCGCCAGCUAAGGUCCCAAAGUCAUGGUUAAGUGGGAAACGAUGUGGGAAGGCCCAGACAGCCAGGAUGUUGGCUUAGAAGCAGCCAUCAUUUAAAGAAAGCGUAAUAGCUCACUGGUCGAGUCGGCCUGCGCGGAAGAUGUAACGGGGCUAAACCAUGCACCGAAGCUGCGGCAGCGAACGUAUCACCCAAGACAACUUUGCGGAGUUGACGAUUGACGGAGCGAAGCGACGUCAAAGCGUUCAUUAAAGUCGAGUUGGCUUAGGGAUACGUUCGUUGGGUAGGGGAGCGUUCUGUAAGCCUGUGAAGGUAUGCUGUGAGGCAUGCUGGAGGUAUCAGAAGUGCGAAUGCUGACAUAAGUAACGAUAAAGCGGGUGAAAAGCCCGCUCGCCGGAAGACCAAGGGUUCCUGUCCAACGUUAAUCGGGGCAGGGUGAGUCGACCCCUAAGGCGAGGCCGAAAGGCGUAGUCGAUGGGAAACGGGUUAAUAUUCCCGUACUUGGUGUUACUGCGAAGGGGGGACGGAGAAGGCUAUGUUGGCCGGGCGACGGUUGUCCCGGUUUAAGCGUGUAGGUGUGUGUUCCAGGUAAAUCCGGUUCACUUUAACACUGAGGCGUGACGACGAGGCACUACGGUGCUGAAGCAACAAAUGCCCUGCUUCCAGGAAAAGCCUCUAAGCAUCAGGUAACAUCAAAUCGUACCCCAAACCGACACAGGUGGUCAGGUAGAGAAUACCAAGGCGCUUGAGAGAACUCGGGUGAAGGAACUAGGCAAAAUGGUGCCGUAACUUCGGGAGAAGGCACGCUGACAUGUAGGUGAAG
Molecule: ribosomal RNA, 1181 nt
Filed under: Salmonella enterica subsp. enterica serovar Indiana
Lineage: Bacteria; Pseudomonadati; Pseudomonadota; Gammaproteobacteria; Enterobacterales; Enterobacteriaceae
Description: partial 23S ribosomal RNA
Rfam family: Bacterial large subunit ribosomal RNA
Source: RNAcentral